GUUAUAUGGUCAAGUGAAGAAGCGCAUACGGUGGAUGCCUUGGCAGUCAGAGGCGAUGAAAGACGUGGUAGCCUGCGAAAAGCUUCGGGGAGUCGGCAAACAGACUGUGAUCCGGAGAUGUCUGAAUGGGGGAACCCAGCCAUCAUAAGAUGGUUAUCUUGUACUGAAUACAUAGGUGCAAGAGGCGAACCAGGGGAACUGAAACAUCUAAGUACCCUGAGGAAAAGAAAUCAACCGAGAUUCCCUUAGUAGUGGCGAGCGAACGGGGACCAGCCCUUAAGUUGUAUUGAGAUUAGCGGAACGUUCUGGAAAGGACGGCCAUAGUGGGUGAUAGCCCUGUACGCGAAAAUCCCUUUGCAAUGAAAUCGAGUAGGACGGGGCACGAGAAACCUUGUCUGAAUAUGGGGGGACCAUCCUCCAAGGCUAAAUACUACUGACUGACCGAUAGUGAACCAGUACCGUGAGGGAAAGGCGAAAAGAACCGCGGAGAGCGGAGUGAAAUAGAUCCUGAAACCGUAUGCGUACAAGCAGUGGGAGCCCACUUUGUUGGGUGACUGCGUACCUUUUGUAUAAUGGGUCAGCGACUUAUUUUCAGUGGCGAGCUUAACCGAAUAGGGGAGGCGUAGCGAAAGCGAGUCUUAAUAGGGCGUCUAGUCGCUGGGAAUAGACCCGAAACCGGGCGAUCUAUCCAUGGGCAGGUUGAAGGUUGGGUAACACUAACUGGAGGACCGAACCGACUACCGUUGAAAAGUUAGCGGAUGACCUGUGGAUCGGAGUGAAAGGCUAAUCAAGCUCGGAGAUAGCUGGUUCUCCUCGAAAGCUAUUUAGGUAGCGCCUCAUGUAUCACUGUAGGGGGUAGAGCACUGUUUCGGCUAGGGGGUCAUCCCGACUUACCAAACCGAUGCAAACUCCGAAUACCUACAAGUGCCGAGCAUGGGAGACACACGGCGGGUGCUAACGUCCGUCGUGAAAAGGGAAACAACCCAGACCGUCAGCUAAGGUCCCAAAGUCAUGGUUAAGUGGGAAACGAUGUGGGAAGGCUUAGACAGCUAGGAGGUUGGCUUAGAAGCAGCCACCCUUUAAAGAAAGCGUAAUAGCUCACUAGUCGAGUCGGCCUGCGCGGAAGAUGUAACGGGGCUCAAACCAUGCACCGAAGCUACGGGUAUCAUCUUUUGAUGAUGCGGUAGAGGAGCGUUCUGUAAGCCUGUGAAGGUGAGUUGAGAAGCUUGCUGGAGGUAUCAGAAGUGCGAAUGCUGACAUGAGUAACGACAAUGGGUGUGAAAAACACCCACGCCGAAAGACCAAGGUUUCCUGCGCAACGUUAAUCGACGCAGGGUUAGUCGGUCCCUAAGGCGAGGCUGAAAAGCGUAGUCGAUGGAAAACAGGUUAAUAUUCCUGUACUUCUGGUUAUUGCGAUGGAGGGACGGAGAAGGCUAGGCCAGCCUGGCGUUGGUUGUCCAGGUUUAAGGUGGUAGGCUGAGAUCUUAGGUAAAUCCGGGAUCUUAAGGCCGAGAGCUGAUGACGAGUGUUCUUUUAGAACACGAAGUGGUUGAUGCCAUGCUUCCAAGAAAAGCUUCUAAGCUUCAGGUAACCAGGAACCGUACCCCAAACCGACACAGGUGGUUGGGUAGAGAAUACCAAGGCGCUUGAGAGAACUCGGGUGAAGGAACUAGGCAAAAUGGCACCGUAACUUCGGGAGAAGGUGCGCCGGUGGAGGUGAAGCAUUUACUGCGUAAGCCCCUGCCGGUCGAAGAUACCAGGCCGCUGCGACUGUUUAUUAAAAACACAGCACUCUGCAAACACGAAAGUGGACGUAUAGGGUGUGACGCCUGCCCGGUGCCGGAAGGUUAAUUGAUGGGGUUAGCGCAAGCGAAGCUCUUGAUCGAAGCCCCGGUAAACGGCGGCCGUAACUAUAACGGUCCUAAGGUAGCGAAAUUCCUUGUCGGGUAAGUUCCGACCUGCACGAAUGGCGUAACGAUGGCGGCGCUGUCUCCACCCGAGACUCAGUGAAAUUGAAAUCGCUGUGAAGAUGCAGUGUAUCCGCGGCUAGACGGAAAGACCCCGUGAACCUUUACUAUAGCUUUGCACUGGACUUUGAAUUUGCUUGUGUAGGAUAGGUGGGAGGCUUUGAAGCGUGGACGCCAGUCUGCGUGGAGCCAACCUUGAAAUACCACCCUGGCAACUUUGAGGUUCUAACUCAGGUCCGUUAUCCGGAUCGAGGACAGUGUAUGGUGGGUAGUUUGACUGGGGCGGUCUCCUCCUAAAGAGUAACGGAGGAGUACGAAGGUGCGCUCAGACCGGUCGGAAAUCGGUCGUAGAGUAUAAAGGCAAAAGCGCGCUUGACUGCGAGACAGACACGUCGAGCAGGUACGAAAGUAGGUCUUAGUGAUCCGGUGGUUCUGUAUGGAAGGGCCAUCGCUCAACGGAUAAAAGGUACUCCGGGGAUAACAGGCUGAUACCGCCCAAGAGUUCAUAUCGACGGCGGUGUUUGGCACCUCGAUGUCGGCUCAUCACAUCCUGGGGCUGAAGCCGGUCCCAAGGGUAUGGCUGUUCGCCAUUUAAAGUGGUACGCGAGCUGGGUUUAGAACGUCGUGAGACAGUUCGGUCCCUAUCUGCCGUGGACGUUUGAGAUUUGAGAGGGGCUGCUCCUAGUACGAGAGGACCGGAGUGGACGAACCUCUGGUGUUCCGGUUGUCACGCCAGUGGCAUUGCCGGGUAGCUAUGUUCGGAAAAGAUAACCGCUGAAAGCAUCUAAGCGGGAAACUUGCCUCAAGAUGAGAUCUCACUGGAACCUUGAGUUCCCUAAAGGGCCGUCGAAGACUACGACGUUGAUAGGUUGGGUGUGUAAGCGCUGUGAGGCGUUGAGCUAACCAAUACUAAUUGCCCGUGAGGCUUGACCAUAUAACACCCAAGCAAUU
This 2918-nucleotide ribosomal RNA is filed under the name Pseudomonas syringae. RNAcentral describes it as "23S ribosomal RNA". It matches the Rfam family "Bacterial large subunit ribosomal RNA". The record is from RNAcentral. RNAcentral also lists the same sequence under 2 other names. Lineage: Bacteria; Pseudomonadati; Pseudomonadota; Gammaproteobacteria; Pseudomonadales; Pseudomonadaceae.